UACGGGGGGUGCAAGCGUUGUUCGGAUUUACUGGGCGUAAAGGGCGCGUAGGCGGCGUGACAAGUCACUUGUGAAAUCUCCGGGCUUAACUCGGAACGGUCAAGUGAUACUGUCGUGCUAGAGUACAGAAGGGGCAACUGGAAUUCUCGGUGUAGCGGUGAAAUGCGUAGAUAUCGAGAGGAACACCUGCGGCGAAGGCGGGUUGCUGGGCUGAUACUGACGCUGAGGCGCGAAAGCCAGGGGAGCGAACGGG
This 253-nucleotide ribosomal RNA is filed under the name uncultured bacterium. RNAcentral's name for it is "partial 16S ribosomal RNA". It matches the Rfam family "Bacterial small subunit ribosomal RNA", at positions 524 to 776 of the family's 1533-position model. The record is from RNAcentral.